RNAcentral lists this ribosomal RNA (554 nucleotides) under uncultured candidate division MSBL2 bacterium. RNAcentral's name for it is "bacterial SSU rRNA". It matches the Rfam family "Bacterial small subunit ribosomal RNA", at positions 854 to 1401 of the family's 1533-position model. The record is from RNAcentral.
AAUGCAUUAAGUGAUCCGCCUGGGGAGUACGUCCGCAAGGAUGAAACUCGAGGAAUUGACGGGGACCCGCACAAGCGGUGGAGUAUGUUCUUUAAUUCGAUGCAACACGAAGAACCUUACCUGGGCUUGACAUCACCGAAAUCACCUUUAUACGGUGAGUGCCUCGAUUUAUCGAGGAAUCGUGUGACAGGUGCUGCAUGGCUGUCGUCAGUUCGUGUCGUGAGAUGUUGGGUUAAGUCCCGCAACGAACGCAACCCCUGUCUUUAGUUACCAGCAUUAAGUUGGGGACUCUAGAGAGACUGCCAAGGUGACAACUUGGAGGAAGGUGGGGACGACGUCAAGUCAUCAUGGUCCUUACGUCCAGGGCUAGAAACGUACUACAAUGGUUGGCACAGAGGGCAGCAACACAGCGAUGUGAAGCAAAUCCUUAAAACCAACCUCAGUUCGGAUUGGAGUCUGCAACUCGACUCCANGAAGUUGGAAUCGCUAGUAAUCGCGGAUCAGCAAUGCCACGGAGAAUACGUUCCCGGGUCUUGUACACACCGCCCGUCAAG